UGGGGAAUAUUGCACAAUGGGCGCAAGCCUGAUGCAGCAACGCCGCGUGAACGAUGAAGGUCUUCGGAUCGUAAAGUUCUGUUGCAGGGGAAGAUAAUGACGGUACCCUGUGAGGAAGCCCCGGCUAACUACGUGCCAGCAGCCGCGGUAAUACGUAGGGGGCUAGCGUUAUCCGGAUUUACUGGGCGUAAAGGGUGCGUAGGUGGUCCUUCAAGUCGGUGGUUAAAGGCUACGGCUCAACCGUGGAGGGUCAUUGGAAACUAAUAAACUUGAGUGCAGGAGAGAAAAGUGGAAUUCCUAGUGUAGCGGUGAAAUGCGUAGAGAUUAGGAGGAACACCGGUGGCGAAAGCGGCUUUUUGGCCUGCAACUGACACUGAGGCGCGAAAGCGUGGGGAGCAAACAGG
RNAcentral lists this ribosomal RNA (404 nucleotides) under Verrucomicrobiota bacterium. RNAcentral describes it as "Verrucomicrobia bacterium partial 16S ribosomal RNA". It matches the Rfam family "Bacterial small subunit ribosomal RNA", at positions 355 to 776 of the family's 1533-position model. The record is from RNAcentral. Lineage: Bacteria; Pseudomonadati; Verrucomicrobiota.